AUUCAGUCUGGAGCGGAGGGAGAGCGUCUCGUCGGCAUCGUGGGUCCCCUGUCAACAGGGGCUCGCCGGCGUCGCCAAAAGCUCUCUCCGGACAGACGCACUUGUCUCGCCCCCGAAGGACGCCGCAGCCGGUCGGGCAGAGCAAGCUCGGCGGCCAGGAAGGCGGAAGCCGGCAGGUCGCCGGAGGAGCCGCCCCCCCUCUCGAGGGGGGUGUCGGACCUCCGGUAUUUUAGCCGUUCCGUCGGUGGUCGCCGCCCGACCGAGGCGUCGCCAGGCCCUCAGCGGGCCGAGCCGCCUCCCCCCAAGAUGGGAGCCGGGACAGAGGGGCGCGGAGGGAGCGCGCAGGGCGUCGCACCCCGAUCGGGGUGGACGUCCCUCGCGUCGAGCUUCCUCGUCGGCGCCCACGAACCCGCGGGAGGCCGCGGGCUAGCGGCGAAGUAGGUCGGUCACCCACCCGACCCGGUCUUGAAACACGGACCAAGGAGUCUAACAUGUGCGCGAGUCAGUGGGACUUGGACAGGCCCACAGGCGCAAUGAAAGCAAAGGUCGGCCUUCCCUUCGGGGUCGGUCGCCGAGUUGGGAUCCCCGUCUCUGAGGCGGGGCGCACCAACGACCCGUCCCGUCCGCCACGGCGGCGGGGCGGAGUGUGAGCGUACACGUUGGGACCCGAAAGAUGGUGAACUAUGCCCGAACAGGACGAGGCCAGAGGAAACUCUGGUGGAGGUCCGCAGCGGUUCUGACGUGCAAAU
RNAcentral lists this ribosomal RNA (749 nucleotides) under Paratheuma armata. RNAcentral describes it as "eukaryotic LSU rRNA". The stretch from base 477 to 749 matches the Rfam family "Eukaryotic large subunit ribosomal RNA", at positions 665 to 898 of the family's 3401-position model. The record is from RNAcentral. Lineage: Eukaryota; Metazoa; Arthropoda; Arachnida; Araneae; Dictynidae.